RNAcentral lists this ribosomal RNA (738 nucleotides) under uncultured bacterium. RNAcentral describes it as "bacterial SSU rRNA". It matches the Rfam family "Bacterial small subunit ribosomal RNA", at positions 60 to 790 of the family's 1533-position model. The record is from RNAcentral.
AGUCGACGGUAACAGAAUCAGCUUGCUGAUUUGCUGACGAGUGGCGGACGGGUGAGUAAUGUCUGGGAAACUGCCUGAUGGAGGGGGAUAACUACUGGAAACGGUAGCUAAUACCGCAUAACGUCGCAAGACCAAAGAGGGGGACCUUCGGGCCUCUUGCCAUCGGAUGUGCCCAGAUGGGAUUAGCUAGUAGGUGGGGUAACGGCUCACCUAGGCGACGAUCCCUAGCUGGUCUGAGAGGAUGACCAGCCACACUGGAACUGAGACACGGUCCAGACUCCUACGGGAGGCAGCAGUGGGGAAUAUUGCACAAUGGGCGCAAGCCUGAUGCAGCCAUGCCGCGUGUAUGAAGAAGGCCUUCGGGUUGUAAAGUACUUUCAGCGGGGAGGAAGGGAGUAAAGUUAAUACCUUUGCCCAUUGACGUUACCCGCAGAAGAAGCACCGGCUAACUCCGUGCCAGCAGCCGCGGUAAUACGGAGGGUGCAAGCGUUAAUCGGAAUUACUGGGCGUAAAGCGCACGCAGGCGGUUUGUUAAGUCAGAUGUGAAAUCCCCGGGCUCAACCUGGGAACUGCAUCUGAUACUGGCAAGCUUGAGUCUCGUAGAGGGGGGUAGAAUUCCAGGUGUAGCGGUGAAAUGCGUAGAGAUCUGGAGGAAUACCGGUGGCGAAGGCGGCCCCCUGGACGAAGACUGACGCUCAGGUGCGAAAGCGUGGGGAGCAACAGGAUUAGAUACCCUGG